This 843-nucleotide ribosomal RNA is filed under the name Biscogniauxia petrensis. RNAcentral's name for it is "partial large subunit ribosomal RNA". It matches the Rfam family "Eukaryotic large subunit ribosomal RNA", at positions 86 to 955 of the family's 3401-position model. The record is from RNAcentral. Lineage: Eukaryota; Fungi; Ascomycota; Sordariomycetes; Xylariales; Xylariaceae.
ACGGCGAGUGAAGCGGCAACAGCUCAAAUUUGAAAUCUGGCUUUCGGGUCCGAAUUGUAAUUUGCAGAGGAUGCUUUUGGCGAGGUGCCUUCCGAGUUCCCUGGAACGGGACGCCUUAGAGGGUGAGAGCCCCGUACGGUUGGACACCAAGCCUCUGUAAAGCUCCUUCGACGAGUCGAGUAGUUUGGGAAUGCUGCUCUAAAUGGGAGGUAAAUUUCUUCUAAAGCUAAAUACCGGCCAGAGACCGAUAGCGCACAAGUAGAGUGAUCGAAAGAUGAAAAGCACUUUGAAAAGAGGGUUAAAUAGCACGUGAAAUUGUUGAAAGGGAAGCGUUUACGGCCAGACCUUUUCCUAGCGGAUCAUCUGGUGUUCUCACCGGUGCACUUCGCUAGGUUUAGGCCAGCAUCGGCUUCUGUAGAGGGAUAAAAGCAGUGGGAAAGUAGCUCUCUCGGGAGUGUUAUAGCCCUAAGCAUAAUACCUUUACGGGGGCCGAGGACCGCGCUUUUGCAAGGAUGCUGGCGUAAUGGUCGUCAACGACCCGUCUUGAAACACGGACCAAGGAGUCGAACAUUUGUGCGAGUGUUUGGGUGUUAAACCCUCACGCGUAAUGAAAGUGAACGGAGGUGAGAGCCCUUUACGGGGUGCAUCAUCGACCGAUCCUGAUGUCUUCGGAUGGAUUUGAGUAGGAGCAUUAAUGUUCGGACCCGAAAGAUGGUGAACUAUGCGUGGAUAGGGUGAAGCCAGAGGAAACUCUGGUGGAGGCUCGCAGCGGUUCUGACGUGCAAAUCGAUCGUCAAAUCUGCGCAUGGGGGCGAAAGACUUAUCGAACCAUCUAGUACUGGU